This 566-nucleotide small RNA is filed under the name Pan troglodytes (chimpanzee). Its description in RNAcentral is "processed transcript". The record is from RNAcentral. Lineage: Eukaryota; Metazoa; Chordata; Mammalia; Primates; Hominidae.
AGCGGGACCCUGCGGCUCGGGAUGGAGGCUGGACACCUGUUCUGCUGUUGUGUCUUGCCAUUCUCCUGAAGAACAGAGGCACACUGUAAAACCCAACACUUCCCCUUGCAUUCUAUGAGAUUACAGCAAGAUGGAAAUACCAAAUCCCCCUACCUCCAAAUGUAUCACUUACUGGAAAAGAAAAGUGAAAUCUGAAUACAUGCGACUUCGACAACUUAAACGGCUUCAGGCAAAUAUGGGUGCAAAGGCUUUGUAUGUGGCAAAUUUUGCAAAGGUUCAAGAAAAAACUCAGAUCCUCAAUGAAGAAUGGAAGAAGCUUCGUGUCCAACCUGUUCAGUCAAUGAAGCCUGUGAGUGGACACCCUUUUCUCAAAAAGAGAUGGGGUUUCACCAUGUUGGCCUGGCUGGUCUCCAACUGACUUCAAGUGAUCUGCCUGUCUUGGCCUCCCAAAGUGCUGGGAUUACUGGCAUGAGCCACUAUGCCCAGCCAAUUUUGGAAGGAAAUUACAUUUCUUUCUUGGGUGAUAUGCCCGUCUUUCCCUCUCCAUGUCAUUGCUUAUAUUUCAG